RNAcentral lists this long non-coding RNA (532 nucleotides) under Physcomitrium patens. RNAcentral describes it as "long non-coding RNA (PPAT_LNC004838)". The record is from RNAcentral. Lineage: Eukaryota; Viridiplantae; Streptophyta; Bryopsida; Funariales; Funariaceae.
UAACAUGAGGCCUUACUUGAAAAUAUACCAAGCACUUGGCUAUAGAAGGUAGAAAAGUUUAUAAAAAUAAGAUUUUAAUUCUAAUAGAAUCCUAAAUAAUUUUAAUUAAAUUCUAAUAAUUCUAAUCAAGCUUUAAUCAAAUCCAAAGAAAUCUUAAAAAAAUUAUGAAAGAAACAUGAAGAAAUCCUAAAGAAAUUCAAACAAAGUAUUAAAAUAAAAUCUUAAAUAUAUCUUAAAUAAAUUCUAAUAAGAUAUUAAUUUAAUCUUAGUUAAAUUUCUAGUAGUAUUUAAUUAAAUCCUAAGUCAAAUCCUAACUAAUCCUAAAUAAUCCUAAAUCCUAAACAUACCCUAAAUCUUAAUCAAAUUCUAGUCAAAUUAACCUAAUCCUAGGGCAGUUUAGAAAUUCAAUAUCUAUCAAUUAUAUUAUUGAUCUUGCUUAAGAUUUUAUAUACCUCUCAAAAACCAAGUUGGCAAUAAGUAUACAAAAUUUUAAGGAGAUCAAACUUACUAAAUAGAAGAUCAAUUCUAAAUU